RNAcentral lists this small nuclear RNA (155 nucleotides) under Salvator merianae (Argentine black and white tegu). Its description in RNAcentral is "U1 spliceosomal RNA (ENSSMRG00000009295.1)". It matches the Rfam family "U1 spliceosomal RNA". From Rfam's summary of the family: U1 is a small nuclear RNA (snRNA) component of the spliceosome (involved in pre-mRNA splicing). Its 5' end forms complementary base pairs with the 5' splice junction, thus defining the 5' donor site of an intron. There are significant differences in sequence and secondary structure between metazoan and yeast U1 snRNAs, the latter being much longer (568 nucleotides as compared to 164 nucleotides in human). The record is from RNAcentral. Lineage: Eukaryota; Metazoa; Chordata; Lepidosauria; Squamata; Teiidae.
AUACUUAUCUGACAGGGGAGACAGCAUGAUCACAAAGGUGGUUUUCCCAGGGUGAGGCUCAUCCAUUGCACUCCAGGUGUGCUGACCCCUGCAAAUGUGGGAAAUUCAACUGCAUAAUUUGUGGUAGUGCGGGACUGCAUUCGCGCUCCCCCUCA